RNAcentral lists this ribosomal RNA (1430 nucleotides) under bacterium mpn-isolate group 7. RNAcentral's name for it is "16S ribosomal RNA". It matches the Rfam family "Bacterial small subunit ribosomal RNA". The record is from RNAcentral.
CUGGCUCAGGAUGAACGCUAGCUACAGGCUUAACACAUGCAAGUCGAGGGGCAUCAGGAAGAAAGCUUGCUUUCUUUGCUGGCGACCGGCGCACGGGUGAGUAACACGUAUCCAACCUGCCCUUUACUCGGGGAUAGCCUUUCGAAAGAAAGAUUAAUACCCGAURGCAUAAUGAUUCCGCAUGGUUUCAUUAUUAAAGGAUUCCGGUAAAGGAUGGGGAUGCGUUCCAUUAGGUUGUUGGUGAGGUAACGGCUCACCAAGCCUUCGAUGGAUAGGGGUUCUGAGAGGAAGGUCCCCCACAUUGGAACUGAGACACGGUCCAAACUCCUACGGGAGGCAGCAGUGAGGAAUAUUGGUCAAUGGGCGCUAGCCUGAACCAGCCAAGUAGCGUGAAGGAUGAAGGCUCUAUGGGUCGUAAACUUCUUUUAUAUAAGAAUAAAGUGCAGUAUGUAUACUGUUUUGUAUGUAUUAUAUGAAUAAGGAUCGGCUAACUCCGUGCCAGCAGCCGCGGUAAUACSGAGGAUCCGAGCGUUAUCCGGAUUUAUUGGGUUUAAAGGGAGCGUAGGUGGACUGGUAAGUCAGUUGUGAAAGUUUGCGGCUCAACCGUAAAAUUGCAGUUGAUACUGUCAGUCUUGAGUACAGUAGAGGUGGGCGGAAUUCGUGGUGUAGCGGUGAAAUGCUUAGAUAUCACGAAGAACUCCGAUUGCGAAGGCAGCUCACUGGACUGCAACUGACACUGAUGCUCGAAAGUGUGGGUAUCAAACAGGAUUAGAUACCCUGGUAGUCCACACAGUAAACGAUGAAUACUCGCUGUUUGCGAUAUACAGUAAGCGGCCAAGCGAAAGCAUUAAGUAUUCCACCUGGGGAGUACGCCGGCAACGGUGAAACUCAAAGGAAUUGACGGGGGCCCGCACAAGCGGAAGGAACAUGUGGUUUAAUUCGAUGAUACGCGAGGAACCUUACCCGGGCUUAAAUUGCAGUGGAAUGAUGUGGAAACAUGUCAGUGAGCAAUCACCGCUGUGAAGGUGCUGCAUGGUUGUCGUCAGCUCGUGCCGUGAGGUGUCGGCUUAAGUGCCAUAACGAGCGCAACCCUUAUCUUUAGUUACUAACAGGUUAUGCUGAGGACUCUAGAGAGACUGCCGUCGUAAGAUGUGAGGAAGGUGGGGAUGACGUCAAAUCAGCACGGCCCUUACGUCCGGGGCUACACACGUGUUACAAUGGGGGGUACAGAAGGCAGCUAGCGGGUGACCGUAUGCUAAUCCCAAAAKCCUCUCUCAGUUCGGAUCGAAGUCUGCAACCCGACUUCGUGAAGCUGGAUUCGCUAGUAAUCGCGCAUCAGCCACGGCGCGGUGAAUACGUUCCCGGGCCUUGUACACACCGCCCGUCAAGCCAUGGGAGCCGGGGGUACCUGAAGUACGUAACCGCAAGGA